GCGGGAUUGGCAGAUAUGGAUAUGCACUCGCCUUUUAAGCGAGACGAAGUGGGUUCGAUUCCCACAUCCCGCACCA
RNAcentral lists this transfer RNA (76 nucleotides) under Acidobacteriota bacterium. RNAcentral describes it as "Acidobacteria bacterium tRNA-Lys". It matches the Rfam family "tRNA". Rfam says of the family: Transfer RNA (tRNA) molecules are approximately 80 nucleotides in length. Lineage: Bacteria; Pseudomonadati; Acidobacteriota. RNAcentral also lists the same sequence under 6 other names. The record is from RNAcentral.